Trifolium pratense (red clover) is the source of this 2191-nucleotide long non-coding RNA. RefSeq lists it as uncharacterized. The record is from RefSeq and is a predicted model, not a curated record. NCBI's taxonomy places the organism in Eukaryota, Viridiplantae, Streptophyta, Magnoliopsida, Fabales, Fabaceae. The transcript is spliced from 6 exons.
ACUAUUCUCUCUCUCUCUAGUCUCUAGUAGAGAACAGAACCAAUUUGAAUCCCUAACUAACUAACCCCUUCGAAUUCUCACUUCUUCAUCAACAAACCUCAAUUCCAAUUUGUCUCAAUUCUCACCGUCACCAGCGACACCGCACUUCCUUUGUACACGACGGCGAUUCUUACGUUAUUUAUUCUCGUUUCACCGCCUUCCUAGUUUUCGACAUUAAUCUCUUGCGUCUAACGGAGAAAGACAUUUUCUCUGUUUUUCUCAUCUUUCAUCUCCAACUCGUUUUCUACCGAUUGAACGCAACUCCGACUCGGUUACGUUAACAUGGCUUGGAGGCGUUUGAUAACACAGAUUGGUGUCUAUUAUGGAAAUCCAGGAGUGACAAAUGGAGGAAUUGCAUUCAAGUUUUUUGCAUUGGAUCGGCUAGAAGUUUGUCCUACAGGGGAAGAUAAAGCUGUUAAACACAAUAACCUUUUCACCACAAUAAUCUUCAACUUUCUGCUGCUAUUUGGUAUUUCUACUCCAAAAUAUAUUUGUUACUAAUAUGAAGAACUAAUCACCAUUUUCACACUACCUUUUAGGCCAAAAGAUGAAGAAAUUGGCCUUAAAGUUCGUUUAAGAGCGCAAAAGAGCAAGUAAAUUCCAAUUUCAGCAUUAGCAAUUCUUAGAAGGGGACGAUCAUAAGGUAUCCCCAACCUAGAGUGCAAGGAUCUCCUAAAUUCGACUGCAGAAAGAAUGAAGAAUUUAUAAAUAUUGACAUAUGUUGAUAUCCUUAAUGAUAAAGCAGAGUGGAAAGCCCUGCAGAUUCAGUAGAUCUCUAAAUUUUAACAACUGUAUACAAAGUAAACGCAGAAUCCUAUCCAUGGACCUUGCAAAAGUUCGACAGCAUACCUUGCUUCAUUUCUGUGUCCCCAAAACUCAGUUCAUAGAAAACAGUUAUUGGAUGCAGAGUCCCAGGAGGGCUAUAGUGAUAAGAUGUCAGAAGUAGGUCUCCCAAUACACAUGUCCUGGAUGCAGUUCACGAUAUUGUUCCCUCCCAUGUUAUAAAGUAGUAAGUAAAGUUAUUUGAGUUGUUUCUUAUGUCACACUAGCAUGUCAAGACUAGAUGCUACAAAUGUUUUUGACAGAACAUUACUGAUUGAGGAAGUAUGCUCACUUUGUUUAUCAUUGCAUUUCACUUUAUCUUCUCGUGUUCAACAAAGUUUGAGGAAAGUAUCAUUUCAGUUUUAAUACUGCAUAUUAUUCUGAAAAGAUAUAUUUUGAUGAUGUUAUCAAGCUAGGGUGCUGUUCUAGCAGUGUCACUGCCUUGUUUCUGGUUAAUGAUCCAAUGGUAUCAUGACACCACUUUUAUUUUGGCAAUCGUUAUACUGUAAUUUUAUGUAUAUGAUUUUGUUGAAUUGUUGUUGCUCGCAGGCUUUUUAUAUCAGUGAAUCACCAAUUUAAUCGCUAAAAUUGUAGGGGCAGACAAUUUGGUCUUCAUGCAUGGAAUGAAAAUCAUCGAUCACAUCAGUCCGUCCCAGAUGAUCUUCAAUUUCAGUGAUAUUUUAAAAUUUAAUUAUUAUUAAUAUUAGGGACCAGUUUGUCUCUCUAGCAGAACCAUUCUCUUCUCCCUUUGAUUAGAAUCCCAAUUUAUCUCAAUUCUCACUGUUACUCAUUCAAAUUCUCACUCAAUUCCUUCUUUGUCAACAAAACUCAAUCCCAAUUUGUCUCAAUUCUCACCGUCAAAACCGCCAUUGACACCGCACCUUACAAUUUCUUCAAUGCCCUACCUCCACCACCGCCCUCUGGAGACGACGGCGAUCCUUUCGGCUCCUGGUAUGAUAACAUUGUUUUUCCUCGUUAUUUCCCUAAAACCCUACCUCUUUACUACACCCUCACUUUCAACCUUGCUCUUGCUACCACAUCGCCUACAUUCAAUGAACCGACUUGAUGAUUCCCUCUUAUAAUAUGGUGAGAUUGGAAUGCAGCAAAUUGGAAUUCGUUGCAUAAGAUGACUGGAAUUGCCUUUAAAGCCGGUUAUCCUAAAGAUUGGUGUCUAUUAUGGAAAUCCAGAAGUGGCAAACGGCGGAAUUGCAUUGAAGUUUUUUGCAUUGGAUGGGCUAGAAGUUUGUCCUAUAGGGGAAGAUAAAGUCGUUAAGCACAAUAACCUUUUCGCCACAUAUUCUGUUAUAUAUUAUCUUAAACUUUCUGUUGC